GACGAACGCUGGCGGCGUGCCUAAUACAUGCAAGUCGAACGCUUUUUCUUUCACCGGAGCUUGCUCCACCGAAAGAAAAAGAGUGGCGAACGGGUGAGUAACACGUGGGUAACCUGCCCAUCAGAAGGGGAUAACACUUGGAAACAGGUGCUAAUACCGUAUAACACUAUUUUCCGCAUGGAAGAAAGUUGAAAGGCGCUUUUGCGUCACUGAUGGAUGGACCCGCGGUGCAUUAGCUAGUUGGUGAGGUAACGGCUCACCAAGGCAACGAUGCAUAGCCGACCUGAGAGGGUGAUCGGCCACACUGGGACUGAGACACGGCCCAGACUCCUACGGGAGGCAGCAGUAGGGAAUCUUCGGCAAUGGACGAAAGUCUGACCGAGCAACGCCGCGUGAGUGAAGAAGGUUUUCGGAUC
RNAcentral lists this ribosomal RNA (416 nucleotides) under Enterococcus casseliflavus. RNAcentral's name for it is "bacterial SSU rRNA". It matches the Rfam family "Bacterial small subunit ribosomal RNA", at positions 28 to 424 of the family's 1533-position model. The record is from RNAcentral. Lineage: Bacteria; Bacillati; Bacillota; Bacilli; Lactobacillales; Enterococcaceae.